GCUGAGCCAGGUAGCGUGGGCUUGUAACCCGGGCGGGGGCAAUGAGUGAUGGAACUUUGGUUAAGCCCGAAGGCUGGUCACCAGUAGCAAUAAUCCACUGGCUCGCCCAUUCCAAGCGGAGAGUUGGCCCAUGGCACUUCUCCGAAGGUGGAGGUGUCGUGGACCCUAAAGUGAAGGGCAUCGCAUGAGGCUGUUUUCACAGAGCAGUGAAAACCUUCCUCUCUCUACAGUGGAAGGAUAGCGGAGAGUUGGCCCAUGCACUUCUCCGAAGGUGGAGGUGUCGUGGACCCUAAAGUGA
Molecule: signal recognition particle RNA, 298 nt
Filed under: Ipomoea nil (Japanese morning glory)
Lineage: Eukaryota; Viridiplantae; Streptophyta; Magnoliopsida; Solanales; Convolvulaceae
Description: Plant signal recognition particle RNA
Rfam family: Plant signal recognition particle RNA
Source: Rfam by way of RNAcentral